Ipomoea nil (Japanese morning glory) is the source of this 390-nucleotide long non-coding RNA. RefSeq lists it as uncharacterized. The transcript has 2 exons. The record is from RefSeq and is a predicted model, not a curated record. Lineage: Eukaryota; Viridiplantae; Streptophyta; Magnoliopsida; Solanales; Convolvulaceae.
AGGCAUAAUUUGCUAUGAAUUUCCUCAUAUGGACUUAUAGUGCUAGUUGAUGAUUGAUUAUGCUGUUCUAAAAGCAUAGUUCGCUAAUAAUUUCCUCAUAUAUGAAUUACUUAUACUCUUAUAGUGCUAGUUGAAGUUUGAUUAUGCAGUUCUAAAAGCAUGGUUUGCUAUGAAUUUCUGCGUAUACAAGUACUUUUCGAUUUUGAUAGUAUGGUAUGAUUAUUUCCAGCAUUCAUAAUUUUUUAUGUUCUUGAUUUGAGGGUUGAUGUGCACCAAAGUGAAAUCAAUAGUCUGUAAGACUAUGAUUACAUUUGAUCUCUCGGUGAAGUUAUAUUGUUUACAUUAAGCCUACUUACCACAAGAAUAUAUGCAUAGGAAUGUGAUAGAAAA